This 253-nucleotide ribosomal RNA is filed under the name uncultured bacterium. RNAcentral's name for it is "partial 16S ribosomal RNA". It matches the Rfam family "Bacterial small subunit ribosomal RNA", at positions 524 to 776 of the family's 1533-position model. The record is from RNAcentral.
UACGUAGGGGGCAAGCGUUGUUCGGAAUUACUGGGCGUAAAGGGCGCGUAGGCGGCACGGCAAGUCGGGAGUGAAAGGCCUGGGCUCAACCGAGGAACUGCUUUCGAGACUGCCGAGCUAGAGUGCGGAAGGGGCAACCGGAAUUCCCAGUGUAGCGGUGAAAUGCGUAGAUAUUGGGAAGAACACCUGAGGCGAAGGCGGGUUGCUGGGCCGACACUGACGCUGAGGCGCGAAAGCAUGGGGAGCGAACAGG